UACGGGGGGGGCAAGCGUUGUUCGGAAUUACUGGGCGUAAAGGGUUUGUAGGUGGCUUGUUAAGUCAGACGUGAAAUCCCUCAGCUUAACUGGGGAACUGCGUCUGAUACUGGCGAGCUUGAGUGCAGGAGAGGAACGCGGAAUUCCAGGUGUAGCGGUGAAAUGCGUAGAUAUCUGGAGGAACACCGGUGGCGAAGGCGGCGUUCUGGUCUGUAACUGACGCUGAGGCGCGAAAGCGUGGGGAGCAAACAGG
RNAcentral lists this ribosomal RNA (253 nucleotides) under uncultured bacterium. RNAcentral describes it as "partial 16S ribosomal RNA". It matches the Rfam family "Bacterial small subunit ribosomal RNA", at positions 524 to 776 of the family's 1533-position model. The record is from RNAcentral.